UACGGAGGGGGCUAGCGUUGUUCGGAAUUACUGGGCGUAAAGCGCACGUAGGCGGAUCAGAAAGUCAGAGGUGAAAGCCCAGGGCUCAACCUUGGAACUGCCUUUGAAACUCCUGAUCUUGAGGUCGUGAGAGGUGAGUGGAAUUCCUAGUGUAGAGGUGAAAUUCGUAGAUAUUAGGAGGAACACCAGUGGCGAAGGCGGCUCACUGGCUCGGUGCUGACGCUGAGGUGCGAAAGCGUGGGGAGCAAACAGG
This 253-nucleotide ribosomal RNA is filed under the name uncultured bacterium. RNAcentral's name for it is "partial 16S ribosomal RNA". It matches the Rfam family "Bacterial small subunit ribosomal RNA", at positions 524 to 776 of the family's 1533-position model. The record is from RNAcentral.